UUAGAGAAACCUAACAAUGGAGAAACAUGGAAAACCCCCUAGCUACUAGACUUCUCUCCUUCUUCCACACCAAAACCCUAGCCACCAGAACCGCCGGCACCCCAUCUCCUCACGCAGUAGCCGCCCCAGUUCAAACUCGCCAGAAAUCCGGCACACCCAAAACGAGGAGCAGCAUCCCACGCCCAAAAAUCUGUCCUCCACGCCGGAUUCGCCGCUGACUCCAUAGCCGGCGACUUCACCCCACCUGAACUCGCGAAAACCAGCAACAACGGCACCCACCCAAGCUGUCAAACCCGCCAGACUUCCCUAGUUUCAACAACCCGUCUCCAGCCACUCUCAGCGGUCGCAAAUCUAUUGUUUACUGUUGGAGACCUCGUUGAGCUUCACUCGAAUUGAUUCCAACAUUUGUUAAGAUUUGUUUAGUGCCUUUUCUGCUCAAGUAUUUUGAAUUCUGGAAUUUUGAUGUUCAAGUCGUGGAGUUCGAUUGAGAAACCGCCGUCCGAGGUGUAGGUUCAGUCACUGUUUUCAUUUUCUAGGCAAACUCGAUUCGUCGGAGUUUACUGUAAUCGAGUUCUCGUCUAAUACAAAGGCAUCAAUUAUUGAGGUCCAUUUCUUCUCCUCUUCCUAUAUGGAUGUCAUUUUAGUUUCCUAUUUCAUUCAACUUUUGAGAUAUGUUUACUUGUAUUAGUUUAUCCAUUAUCUUGAAGAUCACUUGAUAAAUGCCUCCAUGAAUUACAUGUGCAGAUAGGUAAUUUCAAAUUUAAGUACGAUAAAUUAAUUGACAUGACUUGGUAAAGCAAAUUGGUCGAAAGAUAUUAGCUGUUAUAAUAGAGUUUGGACUUGGUUUAAUUAAAGGGGAAAAUUGUUUCUUUUGAUGGAAUAUUGAAGGGAUUUUUUCGCGUUUCAUUUUUUUUACGAAUUGGUGGGAGCAUGCUUAGGCCGACCACAUUCGGAUUGGCAAGCCUUAGGAUUUGGUUAGUUUCGAG
RNAcentral lists this long non-coding RNA (986 nucleotides) under Nicotiana benthamiana. Its description in RNAcentral is "long non-coding RNA (NBEN_LNC020841)". The record is from RNAcentral. Lineage: Eukaryota; Viridiplantae; Streptophyta; Magnoliopsida; Solanales; Solanaceae.